Molecule: ribosomal RNA, 1342 nt
Filed under: uncultured bacterium
Lineage: Bacteria
Description: 16S ribosomal RNA
Rfam family: Bacterial small subunit ribosomal RNA
Source: RNAcentral
CGCUGGCGGCGUGCUUAACACAUGCAAGUCGAACGAUGAAGCCUAACUUGCUAGGUGGAUUAGUGGCGAACGGGUGAGUAAUACGUGAGUGACCUACCUUUGACUCUGGGAUAAGCCUGGGAAACUGGGUCUAAUACCGGAUACGACCAAUCUCCGCAUGGGGUGUUGGUGGAAAGCGUUAUGGAGUGGUUUUAGAUGGGCUCACGGCCUAUCAGCUUGUUGGUGAGGUAAUGGCUUACCAAGGCGACGACAGGUAGCCGGCCUGAGAGGGUGACCGGCCACACUGGGACUGAGACACGGCCCACACUCCUACGGGAGGCAGCAGUGGGGAAUAUUGCACAAUGGGCGCAAGCCUGAUGCAGCGACGCCGCGUGAGGGAUGACAGCCUUCGGGUUGUAAACCUCUGUUAGCAUCGAAAAAACGAAAGUGACGGUAGGUGCAGAGAAAGCGCCGGCUAACUACAUGCCAGCAGCCGCGGUAAUACCUAGGGCGCGAGCGUUGUCCGGAAUUAUUGGGCAUAAAGAUCUUGUAGGCGGUUGGUCGCGUCUGCUGUGAAAGGCUGGGGCUUAACCCUGGUUUUGCAGUGGGUACGGGCUAACUAGAGUGCAGUAGGGGAGACUGGAAUUCCUGGUGUAGCGGUGGAAUGCGCAGAUAUCAGGAGGAACACCGAUGGCGAAGGCAGGUCUCUGGGCUGUAACUGACGCUGAGAAGCGAAAGCAUGGGGAGCGAACACGAUUAGAUACCCUGGUAGUCCAUGCCGUAAACGUUGGGCACUAGGUGUGGGGGACAUUCCACGUUUUCCGCGCCGUAGCUAACGCAUUAAGUGCCCCGCCUGGGGAGUACGGCCGCAAGGCUAAAACUCAAAGAAAUUGACGGGGGCCCGCACAAGCGGCGGAGCAUGCGGAUUAAUUCGAUGCAACGCGAAGAACCUUACCAAGGCUUGACAUAUACUGGACUGCGUCAGAGAUGGCGUUUCCCUUCGGGGCUGGUAUACAGGUGGUGCAUGGUUGUCGUCAGCUCGUGUCGUGAGAUGUUGGGUUAAGUCCCGCAACGAGCGCAACCCUCGUUCUAUGUUGCCAGCAUCGUGAUGGUGGGGACUCAUAGGAGACUGCCGGGGUUAACUCGGAGGAAGGUGGGGAUGACGUCAAAUCAUCAUGCCCCUUAUGUCUUGGGCUUCACGCAUGCUACAAUGGCCGGUACAGAGGGUUGCGAUACUGUGAGGUGGAGCUAAUCCCUAAAAGCCGGUCUCAGUUCGGAUUGGGGUCUGCAACUCGACCCCAUGAAGUUGGAGUCGCUAGUAAUCGCAGAUCAGCAACGCUGCGGUGAAUACGUUCCCGGGCCU